Molecule: small nucleolar RNA, 107 nt
Organism: Zingiber officinale
Lineage: Eukaryota; Viridiplantae; Streptophyta; Magnoliopsida; Zingiberales; Zingiberaceae
Source: RefSeq, a predicted model, not a curated record
AGUCAAUGAUGUGGCCAUUGUCUGAGCAUAUUAUUAAAUCUAUCCCAUGCUUCAAAUAAUGAUUUAGAGUCCGACUAUCUGAAGUUUGCUAUCAAAUUCCUCAUAGC